Molecule: long non-coding RNA, 260 nt
Filed under: Lathyrus oleraceus (garden pea)
Lineage: Eukaryota; Viridiplantae; Streptophyta; Magnoliopsida; Fabales; Fabaceae
Description: Pisum sativum (pea) long non-coding RNA (PSAT_LNC011365)
Source: RNAcentral
UUAUUGGUGAGCCAUCUGUCGUCUUUUUCAUAUGUGGAAGCUAAGGAGGAGGUUGGAACUCCGUUCCAAGCUCUCUAUAUUGUUGAAGUGAAAAAAACUGGGGCACCCAUGUCCUCUUUCAAAGAUGCGCGGAAAAUUAUUGAAGAUGGCAGUUCAGAUCAGUGGGGCCGUAUGGUAGAGGUCGCCGAGAACAAGAACAAAGUCGGAUUAGGAUUUCACAGAGGGUCGUCUAAUGUCAAAGAUGAAGGUAUGCAACCGAG